GGUCCAACCCGGUUGACCCGAUGA
Molecule: non-coding RNA, 24 nt
Filed under: Arabidopsis thaliana (thale cress)
Lineage: Eukaryota; Viridiplantae; Streptophyta; Magnoliopsida; Brassicales; Brassicaceae
Source: RNAcentral